UGGCUGAAAGAUGGCAAUGAGGUAAAACUAGACGCAAAUUGUACACAAUCGAAUGAAGGAACGAAACACAACCUUAUUAUAAAGAACAUUAAAUCAGAUAACAGUGGAGAAUAUUGUGUGAAAAGUGGAAACUAUACCAGAACAAUACAGCUUAUAAUUAAAGAUUGUUUUCUGGAAGACCCUUCAAAUGUUAAGAACAUAGAACAUGUAGAAGGAGACGAUGCAAUAUUAAGCUGUAAAGUCAGACUUACAAGUCUACCUGUGGAAUGGUUUAAAGAUGGCAAUGCCGUUGAACUAGACGAUAAUUGUACAAAGUCUAUUGAAGGGACAAAACACAUCCUCAAUAUAAAACACGUUAAAUCAGAUGACAGUGGAGAAUAUUGUGUGAAAGUUGGAAACUUUUCCAGAAAACUACAGCUGAAAGUUAAAGAUUGUUUUCUGGAAGACCCUUCCAAUGUUGAGUACAUAGAAGGAGAAGAUGCAAUAUUAACCUGUAAAGUAAGCCCUACAAGUCUUCCGGUGGAAUGGUUUAAAGACGGCAGUGGUGUUGAACUAGACGAUAAUUGUAAACAGUCCAAUGAAGGCACAACGCAC
Molecule: long non-coding RNA, 594 nt
Organism: Mytilus trossulus (common blue mussel)
Lineage: Eukaryota; Metazoa; Mollusca; Bivalvia; Mytilida; Mytilidae
Exons: 3
Source: RefSeq, a predicted model, not a curated record